AAUGCAGGCACUGAUAAAGUAAACUAAGUCCCAGUUAUGUUACAUCUAACAAAUAACAGAAUUUGAAUGUGACAUUUAUCUAUUUCUUGAACUUACAGAAGCUGGUGCAGAUGAUAUUGACAUACUUCCCAAUGGUCUGGCUUUCCUCAGUGUGGGUUUAAAAUGUCCGGGACUCCACAGCUUUUCCCCAGAUAAGCCUGGAGGGAUACUAAUGAUGGAUCUAAAAAAAGAAAACCCGAGGGCUCUGGAAUUAAGAAUCAGCCGUGGGUUCAAUUUGGCUUCGUUCAAUCCACAUGGUAUCAGCACCUUCAUAGACAACGACGACACAGUUUAUCUCUUUGUUGUAAACCACCCAGAAUUCAAGAAUACAGUGGAAAUUUUUAAAUUUGAAGAAGAAGAAAAUUCCCUUUUGCAUC
Molecule: long non-coding RNA, 416 nt
Organism: Ailuropoda melanoleuca (giant panda)
Lineage: Eukaryota; Metazoa; Chordata; Mammalia; Carnivora; Ursidae
Exons: 3
Source: RefSeq, a predicted model, not a curated record